GACGAACGCUGGCGGCGUGCUUAACACAUGCAAGUCGAACGGUAAGGCUCCAGCUUGCUGGGGUACACGAGUGGCGAACGGGUGAGUAACACGUGGGUGACCUGCCCUGCACUUCGGGAUAAGCCUGGGAAACUGGGUCUAAUACCGGAUAGGACCGCACCGUGAGGGUGUGGUGGAAAGUUUUUUCGGUGUGGGAUGGGCCCGCGGCCUAUCAGCUUGUUGGUGGGGUAAUGGCCUACCAAGGCGGCGACGGGUAGCCGGCCUGAGAGGGUGGACGGCCACAUUGGGACUGAGACACGGCCCAGACUCCUACGGGAGGCAGCAGUGGGGAAUAUUGCACAAUGGGCGGAAGCCUGAUGCAGCGACGCCGCGUGGGGGAUGACGGCCUUCGGGUUGUAAACUCCUUUCACCAUCGACGAAGGGUUUCUGACGGUAGAUGGAGAAGAAGCACCGGCUAACUACGUGCCAGCAGCCGCGGUAAUACGUAGGGUGCGAGCGUUGUCCGGAAUUACUGGGCGUAAAGAGCUCGUAGGUGGUUUGUCGCGUCGUCUGUGAAAUUCCGGGGCUUAACUCCGGGCGUGCAGGCGAUACGGGCAUAACUUGAGUACUGUAGGGGAGACUGGAAUUCCUGGUGUAGCGGUGAAAUGCGCAGAUAUCAGGAGGAACACCGGUGGCGAAGGCGGGUCUCUGGGCAGUAACUGACGCUGAGGAGCGAAAGCAUGGGGAGCGAACAGGAUUAGAUACCCUGGUAGUCCAUGCCGUAAACGGUGGGCGCUAGGUGUGGGUUUCCUUCCACGGGAUCCGUGCCGUAGCUAACGCAUUAAGCGCCCCGCCUGGGGAGUACGGCCGCAAGGCUAAAACUCAAAGGAAUUGACGGGGGCCCGCACAAGCGGCGGAGCAUGUGGAUUAAUUCGAUGCAACGCGAAGAACCUUACCUGGGCUUGACAUAUACAGGAUCGCGCCAGAGAUGGUGUUUCCCUUGUGGCUUGUAUACAGGUGGUGCAUGGUUGUCGUCAGCUCGUGUCGUGAGAUGUUGGGUUAAGUCCCGCAACGAGCGCAACCCUUGUCUUAUGUUGCCAGCACGUUGUGGUGGGGACUCGUAAGAAACUGCCGGGGUUAACUCGGAGGAAGGUGGGGAUGACGUCAAAUCAUCAUGCCCCUUAUGUCCAGGGCUUCACACAUGCUACAAUGGUCGGUACAGUGGGUUGCCAGUCCGUGAGGGCGAGCUAAUCCCGCAAAGCCGGUCUCAGUUCGGAUCGGGGUCUGCAACUCGACCCCGUGAAGUCGGAGUCGCUAGUAAUCGCAGAUCAGCAUGCUACGGUGAAUACGUUUCCCGGGUCU
RNAcentral lists this ribosomal RNA (1341 nucleotides) under uncultured bacterium. RNAcentral describes it as "partial 16S ribosomal RNA". It matches the Rfam family "Bacterial small subunit ribosomal RNA", at positions 28 to 1381 of the family's 1533-position model. The record is from RNAcentral.